CCUACGGGAGGCAGCAGUGGGGAAUAUUGCACAAUGGGGGGAACCCUGAUGCAGCGACGCCGCGUGAGUGAAGAAGUAUUUCGGUAUGUAAAGCUCUAUCAGCAGGGAAGAAAAUGACGGUACCUGACUAAGAAGCCCCGGCUAACUACGUGCCAGCAGCCGCGGUAAUACGUAGGGGGCAAGCGUUAUCCGGAUUUACUGGGUGUAAAGGGAGCGUAGACGGCAGAGCAAGUCUGAAGUGAAAGCCCGGGGCCCAACUGCGGGACUGCUUUGGAAACUGCCCGGCUAGAGUGCUGGAGAGGUAAGCGGAAUUCCUAGUGUAGCGGUGAAAUGCGUAGAUAUUAGGAGGAACACCAGUGGCGAAGGCGGCUUACUGGACAGUAACUGACGUUGAGGCUCGAAAGCGUGGGGAGCAAACAGGAUUAGAUACCCCGGUAGUC
Molecule: ribosomal RNA, 440 nt
Filed under: uncultured bacterium
Lineage: Bacteria
Description: partial 16S ribosomal RNA
Rfam family: Bacterial small subunit ribosomal RNA
Source: RNAcentral